UACGUAGGGUGCGAGCGUUAAUCGGAAUUACUGGGCGUAAAGCGUGCGCAGGCGGUUGUGUAAGACAGUUGUGAAAUCCCCGGGCUCAACCUGGGAAUUGCAUCUGUGACUGCAUAACUAGAGUACGGUAGAGGGGGAUGGAAUUCCGCGUGUAGCAGUGAAAUGCGUAGAUAUGCGGAGGAACACCGAUGGCGAAGGCAAUCCCCUGGGCCUGUACUGACGCUCAUGCACGAAAGCGUGGGGAGCAAACAGG
Molecule: ribosomal RNA, 253 nt
Filed under: uncultured bacterium
Lineage: Bacteria
Description: partial 16S ribosomal RNA
Rfam family: Bacterial small subunit ribosomal RNA
Source: RNAcentral